GAACGCUGGCGGCGUGCCUAAUACAUGCAAGUCGAACGGUCUUUCUAUGGAAGCUUGCUUCCACUGAGAAGAUAGUGGCGAACGGGUGAGUAACACGUGGGUAACCUGCCCAUAAGAGGGGGAUAACAUCCGGAAACGGGUGCUAAUACCGCAUAGUUUUCUUGAUCGCAUGAUUGAGAAAGGAAAGAUGGCCUUUGUGCUGUCGCUUAUGGAUGGACCCGCGGCGUAUUAGUUAGUUGGUGAGGUAACGGCUCACCAAGACGAUGAUACGUAGCCGACCUGAGAGGGUGAUCGGCCACAUUGGGACUGAGACACGGCCCAAACUCCUACGGGAGGCAGCAGUAGGGAAUCUUCCGCAAUGGACGAAAGUCUGACGGAGCAACGCCGCGUGAGUGAAAGAAGGUUUUCGGAUCGUAAAACUCUGUUGUCAGAGAAGAACAAGUUGGAGAGUAACUGCUCCAGCCUUGACGGUAUCUGACCAGAAAGCCACGGCUAACUACGUGCCAGCCGCCGC
Molecule: ribosomal RNA, 514 nt
Filed under: uncultured bacterium
Lineage: Bacteria
Description: bacterial SSU rRNA
Rfam family: Bacterial small subunit ribosomal RNA
Source: RNAcentral